CGCGACCGGUCGCCGACAUCCGGGGCAGGAGUGGGGGAACCACCUUCGUCGUCCGCGCGGACCACUCGGGGUGAAGCCACCAGCCGGUGGCCGGGCACCUUCCACGCCCGAACCCGACAGCUCACCUCACAGGCGUGGGAAGGAACCA
RNAcentral lists this small RNA (148 nucleotides) under Nocardioides sp. Its description in RNAcentral is "c-di-AMP sequence". It matches the Rfam family "c-di-AMP riboswitch aptamer (ydaO/yuaA leader)". Rfam says of the family: This family represents a conserved RNA structure found upstream of the ydaO and yuaA genes in Bacillus subtilis and related genes in other bacteria. The ydaO/yuaA element is thought to act as a genetic "off" switch for the ydaO and yuaA genes in its native state. The record is from RNAcentral. RNAcentral also lists the same sequence under 1 other name. Lineage: Bacteria; Bacillati; Actinomycetota; Actinomycetes; Propionibacteriales; Nocardioidaceae.